Molecule: long non-coding RNA, 1356 nt
Filed under: Carassius auratus (goldfish)
Lineage: Eukaryota; Metazoa; Chordata; Actinopteri; Cypriniformes; Cyprinidae
Description: lncRNA (ENSCARG00000022075.1)
Source: RNAcentral
AUGAGACCAGUGAUAGAAUAUGGAAGUGUAGUGUUUAGAUCAGUGUCGAAAACAUCAAUAAAGAAACUAGAAGCUAUUCAAAAUCAAGCACUGAGAAUCUGCUGUGGGGCUAUAAGGACCUCUCCAGCUUGUGCAGUUCAAGUGGAGAUGGGUGAGUUACCUCUAAAUUUACGAUUUAAGCAGUUGAUUAUGAAUUAUUGGGCAAACCUAAAAGGGCACAAUGAAAGAAGGCACCCAACAGUAAAGUAUCUAAACCCAUGUUGGGAAAGUACAAAGGGAAAGGUGGAAUGUUUUGCUUGGACAUCGGGAAAAAUAGCAAUUGAAAUGGAGUUACAGGACAGAAAGUUCAGUCCUACUGUCCCUUAUCCAAUCACACCACCUUGGCUGUUUCCACCACUAAUUAUUGAUCUCCAUUUUCAAGAGGAAAUAAAAAGACAUAAAGGGAAGGGCAACUGGGCAGAGAUAGUGGAUGACAGACUAAGGUCAGUAUAUAAAUCUUUUUUAGCAGUAUUCACAGAUGGAUCAAAGGAUCCUAAGAGUGGUCUUACUGGUUUUGCAUUCACUAUUCCAGAGUUGAAGAUAAGUAUUAAAGAAAGAACUUCUGAUCAUCUAACAGUGUUUACAGUUGAGUUGUUAGCUAUUUUAACGGCAUUGCAGUGGAUAGAACAAAAUAAAAUUGGCAAGGUUGUUAUAUGUUUAGAUAGUUUAUCUUCAUUGAUGUCUCUACAGUCUCUAUCAUCUAAUAACAGACUUGAUAUUGUAUAUGAAAUUUAUGAAAUUAUGUUCAGACUUAAAUAUAUAAAAACAGAAAUCAUAAUUAUGUGGAUUCCAGCUCAUAGGGGGAUUGAGGGGAAUGAAGCUGCAGAUGCGUUGGCUAAGCAAGCUCUGAAUCACGAUAGAAUUAUGGAAGUAGCAUUUAGUAAAGCUGAAAGUAAAGCAAAAAUAAGGAAUAAUAUUAUGAAGGAAUGGCAGAAACAAUGGGAUGAAGGGAAGAAGGGACGUCAUUUAUAUAAUAUUAAACAAGUGGUAGGAAGAAUGAAAUCAAUAGGUAGACAUACAAGAGAACAUAUAAUUAUUUCAAGGUUGCGAUUGGGGCAUACUGGGUUGAAUAAAACAAUGCAUUUAUUGAAAAAACAUCCAUCAGGUAUGUGUGAGUGUGGAAUGGAAGAAGAAACCGCAGAACAUGUGAUUAGCCAAUGUGUCAAAUAUGAAAAUCAAAGGAUAAAAUUAAGAGAUGAAUUAAAGAAAUAUGGAGUGAAUACGUUAAAUCUUAAAAACCUAUUUAAAGUUGGAGAUCAGAUAUAUAAAGCUUUGUGUAUUUAUUUGAAAGAAACUGGUCUAAUUAAAAGAAUUUAA